AUUGAACACUGGCGGAAUGCUUUACGCAUGCAAGUCGAACGGUAGAGGGGGCAACCCCUCGAGAGUGGCGAACGGGUGAGUAAUAUAUCGGAACGUGCCCAGUCGUGGGGGAUAACGUAGCGAAAGUUACGCUAAUACCGCAUACGAUCUAAGGAUGAAAGCGGGGGAUCGCAAGACCUCGCGCGAUUGGAGCGGCCGAUAUCAGAUUAGGUAGUUGGUGGGGUAAAGGCCCACCAAGCCAACGAUCUGUAGCUGGUCUGAGAGGACGACCAGCCACACUGGAACUGCGACACGGUCCAGACUCCUACGGGAGGCAGCAGUGGGGAAUUUUGGACAAUGGGCGAAAGCCUGAUCCAGCCAUUCCGCGUGCAGGAUGAAGGCCCUCGGGUUGUAAACUGCUUUUGUACAGAACGAAAAGGUUUCUACUAAUACUAGGAGCUCAUGACGGUACUGUAAGAAUAAGCACCGGCUAACUACGUGCCAGCCGCCGCCGUAA
Molecule: ribosomal RNA, 496 nt
Filed under: uncultured bacterium
Lineage: Bacteria
Description: partial 16S ribosomal RNA
Rfam family: Bacterial small subunit ribosomal RNA
Source: RNAcentral